Molecule: long non-coding RNA, 2069 nt
Organism: Mizuhopecten yessoensis (Yesso scallop)
Lineage: Eukaryota; Metazoa; Mollusca; Bivalvia; Pectinida; Pectinidae
Exons: 3
Source: RefSeq, a predicted model, not a curated record
CAACACUAAAUAGGGUCAUCAGCCACAAUCAACACUACAACAGGGUUAUCAGCUAUGCUAAACAAAAAAUAGGGUCGACAGCCACCUUCAGCACUACAUAGAGUUAUCAGUCAAUAUCAACGCUACAGAGUUUUAUCAGCCAUGAUCAACACUACAUAGGGUUAUUAGCUACAAUAAACUCUACAUAGGAUUAUCAGCCAUGAUCAACACUACAUAGGGUUAUCAGCUAUCAGUUAUCAGCUAUGAUCAAUAUAACAUAGGGUUAUCAGCCAUGAUCAACACUACAUAAGGUUAUCAGCCAUGAUCAACACUACAUAGGGUUAUUAGCUGUGAUCAACGCUACAGAGCGUUAUCAGCCAUGAUCAACACUACAUCGGGUUAUCAGCAACAACUGAUAAUCAACAUAACAUAGGGCUAUUAGUAAUGAUCAACACUAAAUAGGGUUGACAGCCACCAUCAACACUACAUAGGGUUAUCAGCCGUGAUCAACACUACAUAGGGUUAUCAGCCAUGAUCAACACUACAUAGUGUUAUUAGCUGUGAUCAACGCUACAGAGUGUUAUUAGCCAUGAUCAACACUACAUAGGGUUAUCAGCCGUGAUCAACACUACAUAGGGUUAUCAGCAAUGAUCAACACUACAUAAGGUUAUCAGCUGUGAUCAACACAACAUAGGGUCAUCUACUAUGAUGAAUAGUACACAGGGGUUAUCAGCUACGACCGAUGAUCUACACUACACAAGGUCAUCACCACUACUUUGGGUAGACAGCACUGAUCAAUAUACUGUAUAGGGCUCUCAGCUCAUGAUGAACUAAAUAAUAGUACAAAAAAAGGCACCGGCCAAAAAAAUAUCCAAUAUCUAAUAAUAUAGACAAUUCAACAUUUUUUAUAUACAUUAUUACCUGAUUAAUAAAGCAUAUUUUUUUUAAAUCUUAGAAGUGUUAAGCUCACUAAAAUCAGGUUAUAAAUGAGGUUUCAGUAUAAACAGAGAAUGUUUACUAUAGGCAAAAAGGGUUUGAUUCGUUGCAGUCCAGUUGACUUAUUGUUUUUGCAGUAGUUUAAUUAAGCCUAUGCAGAGAUUUUUACGAAUGAAAAAUGGGAUAAUAUUUGACAAAAUUUACAAAUAAAAUCAGACUAAAAGCAAUUCAUCUCAAAUGACUAGAUUCUAUGCCAUAAUUACAUUACACAAAGGUUAUGGCAGCAGUUUAACAAAUCAUACAAAAUGGCACAAAUAUUUUUUGAGAAAUUAAAAAGGAACACAAACAAUUUUGGAAAGAAAUGCAAGCUUGAAUAAUAUAUCUUUCAAAUGAUUAUAUAUGUUAACCAGUGUUCACAGCAAAAAUAAAAGCAUAAUGAUUGCUACAUGAAAAAUAUUCAUGGAAGCAAAAAUACGAAAAAGGAGAUUACCUGUGAAAAAUGCUGAAUUUCAAUCUGAAAGCUUAGGCAGUUUCACACUAAAAGAUGACAUAUGUACACCUACAUGUACAGAAGGCAUGUCUGAUGACCAGAAGGUAUGUCUGAUGAACAGAGGUAUGUCUGAUGACCAGAAGGUAUGUCUGAUGACCAGAAGGUAUGCCUGAUGACCAGAGGUAUCAGUAUGUCUGCUGACCAGAAGAUAUGUCUGCUGACCAGAGGUAUUUCUGAUGACCAAAAGGUAUGUCUGAUGACCAGAAGCAUUGUCUGAUGACCAAAAGGUAUGUCUGAUAACCAGAAGGUAUGUCUGAUGACCAAAAGGUAUGUCUGAUGACCAGAGGUAUGUCUGAUGACCAGAAGGUAUGCCUGAUGACCAGAGGUAUGUCUGAUGACCAGAAGGUAUGUCUGAUGACCAGAAGGUAUGUCUGAUGACCAAAAGGUAUGUCUGCUGACCAGAGGUACCAGUAUGUCUGAUGACCAGAAGGUAUGCCUGAUGACCAGAAGGUAUGUCUGAUGACCAGAAGGCAUGUCUGAUGACCAGAAGGUAUGUCUGAUGACCAGAAGGCAUGUCUGAUGACCAAAAGGUAUGUCUGAUGACCAGAAGGUAUGCCUGAUGACCAGAAGGUAUGUCUGAGGACCAGAAGGCAUGUCUGAUGAC